UUUUUUUUGCUUUAAAUUAUUUACUUACCCGCCCAUAAUAGAGCUUCAUUUGGAAUGAGGUGUAAGUCCUCAACUGUUCCCGCAACUGUAAUUAGCACUUUGCUUUAAGUCAGAUACAAAUCAAUUUUUAAUGAGCGGG
This 139-nucleotide non-coding RNA is filed under the name Pseudoalteromonas marina. The record is from RNAcentral. Lineage: Bacteria; Pseudomonadati; Pseudomonadota; Gammaproteobacteria; Alteromonadales; Pseudoalteromonadaceae.